GGACUAUGGCUCAGCGGUAGAGCGCUUGCCUAGCACGCAUGAGGCCCUGGGUUCGAUUCUCAGCACCA
This 68-nucleotide transfer RNA is filed under the name Marmota monax (woodchuck). Its description in RNAcentral is "tRNA.Ala". The stretch from base 7 to 63 matches the Rfam family "tRNA", at positions 8 to 63 of the family's 71-position model. From Rfam's summary of the family: Transfer RNA (tRNA) molecules are approximately 80 nucleotides in length. Their secondary structure includes four short double-helical elements and three loops (D, anti-codon, and T loops). Further hydrogen bonds mediate the characteristic L-shaped molecular structure. tRNAs have two regions of fundamental functional importance: the anti-codon, which is responsible for specific mRNA codon recognition, and the 3' end, to which the tRNAs corresponding amino acid is attached (by aminoacyl-tRNA synthetases). tRNAs cope with the degeneracy of the genetic code in two manners: having more than one tRNA (with a specific anti-codon) for a particular amino acid; and 'wobble' base-pairing, i.e. permitting non-standard base-pairing at the 3rd anti-codon position. Lineage: Eukaryota; Metazoa; Chordata; Mammalia; Rodentia; Sciuridae. The record is from RNAcentral.